GUGAGUCAUUUUCCGUUUAACAGCAAGCAGUUAUGUCGCUCUUACAAUUUUUCUGAUAUUUGAUAGAAAAAUUGAUUUUUCUGUGCACUAUUUGAGUUUAUUCUGUUCCUUAAGGCCCGUUUAAUCUCCUGAAAAUGAAUAUUAAUAAUACAAACAAUACAAACCAACACUCACAUAGAGACCAUCUAAAAGAAGAGGCCUGGGUCACCCCUUGUAUAAUCCUGAAGUUUGGCCAUCAUUCUGAUUUACAAGUUGUCCAUUAUUAGUUGUCUUCCAUUAUCUGAUUAAAAAUUAUCCUCAACUAAUCGAUGGAUGUAUACAGUUCCAGGGCAGUACAGUUAUCCUUGUCACAAAUAUUACCAACAAUACAUCAGGACUUAUAAGUAUAUCUAAAAUUUUAUCAGUGGAUUUCAUGAUUUCUAUAUUUAAAGUAGGAAAAAAAUAUCAGUGAGUCUCUGGGUUACAUUUUUAUGGUUCCUUAUUAUUAUUUAGACCAACUAUUUUUAUUUUGAGCCAGUUUUUGGCUUUUGGUCACUUAAAUUCUUUUUCUUUUUGGUAUGAUACCAUCUACUUAGAAUUUAACUUAAUUAUGUUUAUGAUUAACUUAUUUACACUAGUUAUUUAUUUAUAAUAGCUUGCCUCCUAUAUUUUUUUGAUUGUGGUUAUCUCAUCAUUUUUCAAUUCUAUAAGCUAUUCCAGUGACUGUUUUUUCUAUAGAUCUUAUUUAUUUGUCUUAUUUAUUUGGUAUAUACCCUGUACUUAGAAUUUUAGUUCAUUUUGUUUAUGGUAUAGUUAACUUUCAUUUUUCUAUAAUAGCUUGACUCACAUAUGUGGGAAUAAUAUCAUUAUUUACCAAUUCUAUAAAAUGUUUCAUAAACUGUGGUGUCACUUUUCUAAUACUCUUGUGUUUUUUUGAUAAAACUCACCGAUUUGAAAUUAAAAAAUAAAAUGUAAA
Sitophilus oryzae (rice weevil) is the source of this 955-nucleotide long non-coding RNA. RefSeq lists it as uncharacterized. The transcript is spliced from 3 exons. The record is from RefSeq and is a predicted model, not a curated record. Lineage: Eukaryota; Metazoa; Arthropoda; Insecta; Coleoptera; Curculionidae.